Molecule: non-coding RNA, 353 nt
Organism: Zootoca vivipara (common lizard)
Lineage: Eukaryota; Metazoa; Chordata; Lepidosauria; Squamata; Lacertidae
Source: RefSeq, a predicted model, not a curated record
AGGCUCAGGAGAAUGAGAAGCUUCAUGCAGGUCAAAAAGAACAACAAAGUGGCCCCACUCCAGCACAAGGAGGAGCCUGUGACACCAGUUGUGAAGCUCUUCAAGACUUUCCCAGAGCUUGAGAAGAAAAUAGCGCAACGAUACCGGUCACGUGUUAGACCAGCACCUGAAGAAGAAGACAUCAUUAUUGAAGACCUGGAAGAAGAUCCGUAAGAAGAUCUGUAGGCGGCACCAUAAAAAGGGGUUUCCUCUGUGAAAGAGCAACAAAAAAAGCAACAAAAUUGUGUUGCAACACUAGAAGAAAGGAAAAAGGAAAAAGAAGGGGGAGAACAACGAGCACUCUGACCUGCCAU